Molecule: ribosomal RNA, 422 nt
Filed under: uncultured organism
Description: bacterial SSU rRNA
Rfam family: Bacterial small subunit ribosomal RNA
Source: RNAcentral
GUGCAGCAGGCGAGAAUUUUUCUCAAUGGGGGAAACCCUGAAGGAGCGACGCCGCGUGGAGGAUGAAGGUCUUCGGGUUGUAAACUCCUGUCAUUUGGGAACAAGCGUCGGUACGUAACUACUACCGGCUUGAUAGUACCAGAAGAGGAAGAGACGGCUAACUCUGUGCCAGCAGCCGCGGUAAUACAGAGGUCUCAAGCGUUGUUCGGAUUCAUUGGGCGUAAAGGGUGCGUAGGUGGCGCCGUAAGUGGGGUGUGAAAUUUCGGAGCUUAACUCCGAAACUGCAUUCCAUACUGCGGUGCUUGAGGACUGGAGAGGAGACUGGAAUUCAUGGUGUAGCAGUGAAAUGCGUAGAGAUCAUGAGGAAGACCAGUGCGAAGGCGGGUCUCUGGACAGUUCCUGACACUGAUGCACGAAGGCCA